UACGUAGGGACCGAGCGUUAUCCGGAUUCAUUGGGCGUAAAGACCUCGUAGGCGGCUAUUCAAGUCGAACGUGAAAUCUCGGGGCUCAACUCCGAGCCUGCGUUCGAUACUGGGUAGCUAGAGUCUGGUAGGGGGAUCUGGAAUUCCUGGUGUAGCGGUGGAAUGCGCAGAUAUCAGGAGGAACACCGGUGGCGAAGGCGGGAUCCUGGGCCAGUACUGACGCUGAGGAGCGAAAGCGUGGGGAGCAAACAGG
Molecule: ribosomal RNA, 253 nt
Filed under: uncultured bacterium
Lineage: Bacteria
Description: partial 16S ribosomal RNA
Rfam family: Bacterial small subunit ribosomal RNA
Source: RNAcentral